GAGCACAAAAGUGCGAUUUACACAUCACUUAAAUUAAUAUUAUUGCUAAUAAAUAAUGAUUAAAUGUGUUGCAUUAAAAUCAUAUUUUUUGUGGUGCAAAAGUUAUUGUAAAUCAAGAGUUUAAAUGCACAUUUUGUAUAGUUUGGGAUAAGGCAUGGCUCCAAGCCUAAUGAUGUUAGGAGCAUAAUUGAAUCUGGUCAAGCACAUUUGCACCGGAGCUACACAUGUCUACAUGCCAUAGCCUCUUCCCGGGACACAUGCCAAAGAUCCUGCUGCAGCCCUCAUCCGUUACCAUCUUCAGCAUACCGCGAGCUCCCAGAUUCGUGAUUUGAUCUCAGAGGCUUCCAAGCGUCCGCUCCUCCUCGAGUCCAUUCACAACCCGAUCAACGCCCCUUCUUCCGCCCGUUUCACACGCCUCCCAGCUCCCGGAUCAAGCAACAUCACCUCCCAGCGCGGCAUCUCCUCCGGUUUAUCUCACAUCGGCGUCCAACUCUUCAUCUGCCCGUGAUCGUCUCCCAGCCUUCGCGAUUCAUCCGGCAUCCGUCUCAUCCGCGAUCACCUCCCACGCGUCCGCUCGCCUCCUCCGCAUCACAUCCCAGCAAAGAACCAGCUUAUUAAUCCAUGAUUUCAGCCAGCGAUCAUCCUCCUCCAGCGUGCAGCCCAUCCGUUCGCAUUCACAGAGCAGAUUAGCGCUCCAUCUCCCGCGAUCACCUCCCGGAUCCACGAUCUGCUCAUCUUCCGCCUGCCUCACACGCCUCCCAACCGUUCGUGAGGAUCAUAGCAGCAUCCACAAUCUCCCAGCAAUCCCGCUUCCUGUGAAGCAUCGUAGCCAUCCGCACGUCGUCCGCUCCCGCGAUCAGCUCCCGUGUCCGUCUCGUCCGCGUUCUCAGCCGUUCACACAUGAUCCUCGGCGAUGCAUCCGGAGUCCGCACCCAUCCUCUUCUCCGGAUAUCCAUCGCUAGCUGGGAGGUUGGGGGAUAUAUAUAUGGGGGGGGAAGAAGAAAACGGGGAGCCGGCAUCCGAAGAGAAAAGAAGAGUGAAAACAGAGGAAGAAAGAGAGGGAAACAGGGUAUGCCCUGUUUCCGAAAAUAAAAAAAAAAAGAGAAAUAGAAAAAAAAAUAUGAGGAGGCUUAUUUCUUUGAUGGAGGGCUGAUAUCCUAGGUGAUGGGUGAAGGGACAUCAUUUGGUGUACCAAAUUCAUGAUUUUGGGAUAAGGCAUGGCUCCAAGCCUAAUGAUGUUAGGAGCAUAAUUGAAUCUGGUCAAGCACAUUUGCACCGGAGCUACACAUGUCUACAUGCCAUAGCCUCUUCCCGGGACACAUGCCAAAGAUCCUGCUGCAGCCCUCAUCCGUUACCAUCUUCAGCAUACCGCGAGCUCCCAGAUUCGUGAUUUGAUCUCAGAGGCUUCCAAGCGUCCGCUCCUCCUCGAGUCCAUUCACAACCCGAUCAACGCCCCUUCUUCCGCCCGUUUCACACGCCUCCCAGCUCCCGGAUCAAGCAACAUCACCUCCCAGCGCGGCAUCUCCUCCGGUUUAUCUCACAUCGGCGUCCAACUCUUCAUCUGCCCGUGAUCGUCUCCCAGCCUUCGCGAUUCAUCCGGCAUCCGUCUCAUCCGCGAUCACCUCCCACGCGUCCGCUCGCCUCCUCCGCAUCACAUCCCAGCAAAGAACCAGCUUAUUAAUCCAUGAUUUCAGCCAGCGAUCAUCCUCCUCCAGCGUGCAGCCCAUCCGUUCGCAUUCACAGAGCAGAUUAGCGCUCCAUCUCCCGCGAUCACCUCCCGGAUCCACGAUCUGCUCAUCUUCCGCCUGCCUCACACGCCUCCCAACCGUUCGUGAGGAUCAUAGCAGCAUCCACAAUCUCCCAGCAAUCCCGCUUCCCGUGAAGCAUCGUAGCCAUCCGCACGUCGUCCGCUCCCGCGAUCAGCUCCCGUGUCCGUCUCGUCCGCGUUCUCAGCCGUUCACACAUGAUCCUCGGCGAUGCAUCCGGAGUCCGCACCCAUCCUCUUCUCCGGAUAUCCAUCGCUAGCUGGGAGGUUGGGGGAUAUAUAUAUGGGGGGGGAAGAAGAAAACGGGGAGCCGGCAUCCGAAGAGAAAAGAAGAGUGAAAACCGAGGAAGAAAGAGAGGGAAACAGGGUAUGCCCUGUUUCCGAAAAUAAAAAAAAAAAAGAGAAAUAGAAAAAAAAAUAUGAGGAGGCUUAUUUCUUUGAUGGAGGGCUGAUAUCCUAGGUGAUGGGUGAAGGGAGAUCAUUUGGUGUACCAAAUUCAUGAUGUAAAUUCUAAUCCUUUGCUUUAUACGAUUUAUCUUUUGAUUA
Phoenix dactylifera (date palm) is the source of this 2311-nucleotide non-coding RNA. The record is from RefSeq and is a predicted model, not a curated record. Lineage: Eukaryota; Viridiplantae; Streptophyta; Magnoliopsida; Arecales; Arecaceae.